GAUCUAGUAGUAUAGUGGUUAGUACUCCACGUUGUGGACAUGAGAACGACUCACGUCGUUCGUACAGGCUGAACACUCGCAGAGCCGUGGCAUCCCCGGCUCGAAUCCGGGCUAGAUCA
RNAcentral lists this transfer RNA (119 nucleotides) under Ostreococcus tauri. Its description in RNAcentral is "tRNA-His". Lineage: Eukaryota; Viridiplantae; Chlorophyta; Mamiellophyceae; Mamiellales; Bathycoccaceae. The record is from RNAcentral.